This 88-nucleotide transfer RNA is filed under the name Chloroflexota bacterium. RNAcentral describes it as "Chloroflexi bacterium tRNA-Ser". It matches the Rfam family "tRNA". From Rfam's summary of the family: Transfer RNA (tRNA) molecules are approximately 80 nucleotides in length. The record is from RNAcentral. Lineage: Bacteria; Bacillati; Chloroflexota. RNAcentral also lists the same sequence under 1 other name.
GGGAAGGUGGCGGAGUGGUUGAACGUCCUCGUCUCGAAAACGAGUAGGGUGCAAGCCCUCGAGAGUUCGAAUCUCUCCCUUCCCGCCA